This 2348-nucleotide ribosomal RNA is filed under the name Pseudomonas simiae. Its description in RNAcentral is "bacterial LSU rRNA". It matches the Rfam family "Bacterial large subunit ribosomal RNA", at positions 592 to 2925 of the family's 2925-position model. The record is from RNAcentral. Lineage: Bacteria; Pseudomonadati; Pseudomonadota; Gammaproteobacteria; Pseudomonadales; Pseudomonadaceae.
GGUGACUGCGUACCUUUUGUAUAAUGGGUCAGCGACUUAUUUUCAGUGGCGAGCUUAACCGAAUAGGGGAGGCGUAGCGAAAGCGAGUCUUAAUAGGGCGUCUAGUCGCUGGGAAUAGACCCGAAACCGGGCGAUCUAUCCAUGGGCAGGUUGAAGGUUGGGUAACACUAACUGGAGGACCGAACCGACUACCGUUGAAAAGUUAGCGGAUGACCUGUGGAUCGGAGUGAAAGGCUAAUCAAGCUCGGAGAUAGCUGGUUCUCCUCGAAAGCUAUUUAGGUAGCGCCUCAUGUAUCACUGUAGGGGGUAGAGCACUGUUUCGGCUAGGGGGUCAUCCCGACUUACCAAACCGAUGCAAACUCCGAAUACCUACAAGUGCCGAGCAUGGGAGACACACGGCGGGUGCUAACGUCCGUCGUGAAAAGGGAAACAACCCAGACCGUCAGCUAAGGUCCCAAAGUUAUGGUUAAGUGGGAAACGAUGUGGGAAGGCUUAGACAGCUAGGAGGUUGGCUUAGAAGCAGCCACCCUUUAAAGAAAGCGUAAUAGCUCACUAGUCGAGUCGGCCUGCGCGGAAGAUGUAACGGGGCUCAAACCAUACACCGAAGCUACGGGUAUCACGUAAGUGAUGCGGUAGAGGAGCGUUCUGUAAGCCUGUGAAGGUGAGUUGAGAAGCUUGCUGGAGGUAUCAGAAGUGCGAAUGCUGACAUGAGUAACGACAAUGGGUGUGAAAAACACCCACGCCGAAAGACCAAGGUUUCCUGCGCAACGUUAAUCGACGCAGGGUUAGUCGGUCCCUAAGGCGAGGCUGAAAAGCGUAGUCGAUGGAAAACAGGUUAAUAUUCCUGUACUUCUGGUUAUUGCGAUGGAGGGACGGAGAAGGCUAGGCCAGCUUGGCGUUGGUUGUCCAAGUUUAAGGUGGUAGGCUGAGAUCUUAGGUAAAUCCGGGAUCUUAAGGCCGAGAGCUGAUGACGAGCUAACUUUUAGUUAGCGAAGUGGUUGAUGCCAUGCUUCCAAGAAAAGCUUCUAAGCUUCAGGUAACCAGGAACCGUACCCCAAACCGACACAGGUGGUUGGGUAGAGAAUACCAAGGCGCUUGAGAGAACUCGGGUGAAGGAACUAGGCAAAAUGGCACCGUAACUUCGGGAGAAGGUGCGCCGGUGAGGGUGAAGGACUUGCUCCGUAAGCUCAUGCCGGUCGAAGAUACCAGGCCGCUGCGACUGUUUAUUAAAAACACAGCACUCUGCAAACACGAAAGUGGACGUAUAGGGUGUGACGCCUGCCCGGUGCCGGAAGGUUAAUUGAUGGGGUUAGCUAACGCGAAGCUCUUGAUCGAAGCCCCGGUAAACGGCGGCCGUAACUAUAACGGUCCUAAGGUAGCGAAAUUCCUUGUCGGGUAAGUUCCGACCUGCACGAAUGGCGUAACGAUGGCGGCGCUGUCUCCACCCGAGACUCAGUGAAAUUGAAAUCGCUGUGAAGAUGCAGUGUAUCCGCGGCUAGACGGAAAGACCCCGUGAACCUUUACUAUAGCUUUGCACUGGACUUUGAAUUUGCUUGUGUAGGAUAGGUGGGAGGCUUUGAAGCGUGGACGCCAGUUCGCGUGGAGCCAUCCUUGAAAUACCACCCUGGCAACUUUGAGGUUCUAACUCAGGUCCGUUAUCCGGAUCGAGGACAGUGUAUGGUGGGUAGUUUGACUGGGGCGGUCUCCUCCUAAAGAGUAACGGAGGAGUACGAAGGUGCGCUCAGACCGGUCGGAAAUCGGUCGUAGAGUAUAAAGGCAAAAGCGCGCUUGACUGCGAGACAGACACGUCGAGCAGGUACGAAAGUAGGUCUUAGUGAUCCGGUGGUUCUGUAUGGAAGGGCCAUCGCUCAACGGAUAAAAGGUACUCCGGGGAUAACAGGCUGAUACCGCCCAAGAGUUCAUAUCGACGGCGGUGUUUGGCACCUCGAUGUCGGCUCAUCACAUCCUGGGGCUGAAGCCGGUCCCAAGGGUAUGGCUGUUCGCCAUUUAAAGUGGUACGCGAGCUGGGUUUAGAACGUCGUGAGACAGUUCGGUCCCUAUCUGCCGUGGACGUUUGAGAUUUGAGAGGGGCUGCUCCUAGUACGAGAGGACCGGAGUGGACGAACCUCUGGUGUUCCGGUUGUCACGCCAGUGGCAUUGCCGGGUAGCUAUGUUCGGAAUAGAUAACCGCUGAAAGCAUCUAAGCGGGAAACUAGCCUCAAGAUGAGAUCUCACUGGAACCUUGAGUUCCCUGAAGGGCCGUCGAAGACUACGACGUUGAUAGGUUGGGUGUGUAAGCGCUGUGAGGCGUUGAGCUAACCAAUACUAAUUGCCCGUGAGGCUUGACC